AGAUUGAACGCUGGCGGAAUGCUUUACACAUGCAAGUCGAACGGCAGCACGGGGGUAACCCUGGUGGCGAGUGGCGAACGGGUGAGUAAUACAUCGGAACGUGCCCAGUCGUGGGGGAUAACGUAGCGAAAGCUACGCUAAUACCGCAUACGAACUCUGGUUGAAAGCGGGGGACUCGCAAGAGCCUCGCGCGAUUGGAGCGGCCGAUGGCAGAUUAGGUAGUUGGUGGGGUAAAGGCUCACCAAGCCUGCGAUCUGUAGCUGGUCUGAGAGGACGACCAGCCACACUGGGACUGAGACACGGCCCAGACUCCUACGGGAGGCAGCAGUGGGAAUUUUGGACAAUGGGCGCAAGCCUGAUCCAGCCAUUCCGCGUGCAGGAUCGAAGGCCCCCCGGUUGUAAACUGCUUUUGGACGAACGAAAAGCCGCUCUCUAAUACAGGCGGUCAUGACGUACCGUCAGAAUAAGCACCGGCUAACGUACGUAGCCAGCCAGCCGAA
Molecule: ribosomal RNA, 500 nt
Filed under: uncultured soil bacterium
Lineage: Bacteria
Description: bacterial SSU rRNA
Rfam family: Bacterial small subunit ribosomal RNA
Source: RNAcentral